This 1135-nucleotide ribosomal RNA is filed under the name Halorubrum sp. RNAcentral's name for it is "bacterial SSU rRNA". It matches the Rfam family "Archaeal small subunit ribosomal RNA", at positions 140 to 1272 of the family's 1478-position model. Lineage: Archaea; Methanobacteriati; Methanobacteriota; Halobacteria; Halobacteriales; Haloferacaceae. The record is from RNAcentral.
CUGAGGCUAAUAGUGUAUAACCAUACCACCACUGGAAUGAGUGGUAUGCCAAACGCUCCGGCGCCGAAGGAUGUGGCUGCGGCCGAUUAGGUAGACGGUGGGGUAACGGCCCACCGUGCCAAUAAUCGGUAUGGGUCAUGAGAGUGAGAACCCAGAGACGGAAUCUGAGACAAGAUUCCGGGCCCUACGGGGCGCAGCAGGCGCGAAACCUUUACACUGCACGACAGUGCGAUAGGGGGAUCCCAAGUGCACAGGCAUAGCGCCUGUGCUUUUCGGUACCCUAAGGCGGUACCAGAAUAAGGGCUGGGCAAGACCGGUGCCAGCCGCCGCGGUAAUACCGGCAGCCCAAGUGAUGGCCGAUCUUAUUGGGCCUAAAGCGUCCGUAGCUGGCCGCGCAAGUCCAUCGGGAAAUCCACCUGCUCAACAGGUGGGCGCCCGGUAGAAACUGCGUGGCUUGGGACCGGAAGGCGCGACGGGUACGUCCGGGGUAGGAGUGAAAUCCCGUAAUCCUGGACGGACCGCCGAUGGCGAAAGCACGUCGCGAGAACGGAUCCGACAGUGAGGGACGAAAGCCAGGGUCUCGAACCGGAUUAGAUACCCGGGUAGUCCUGGCCGUAAACAAUGUCUGCUAGGUGUGGCUCCCACUACGAGUGGGUGCUGUGCCGUAGGGAAGCCGCUAAGCAGACCGCCUGGGAAGUACGUCCGCAAGGAUGAAACUUAAAGGAAUUGGCGGGGGAGCACUACAACCGGAGGAGCCUGCGGUUUAAUUGGACUCAACGCCGGACAUCUCACCAGCAUCGACUGUAAUAAUGACGAUCAGGUUGAUGACCUUAUCCGAGUUUCAGAGAGGAGGUGCAUGGCCGCCGUCAGCUCGUACCGUGAGGCGUCCUGUUAAGUCAGGCAACGAGCGAGACCCGCACCCUUACUUGCCAGCAGUACCGCGAGGUAGCUGGGGACAGUAGGGGGACCGCCGUGGCUAACACGGAGGAAGGAACGGGCAACGGUAGGUCAGUAUGCCCCGAAUGUGCUGGGCAACACGCGGGCUACAAUGGUCGAGACAAAGGGUUCCAACUCCGAAAGGAGACGGUAAUCUCAGAAACUCGAUCGUAGUUCGGAUUGUGGGCUGCAACUCGCC